This is a long non-coding RNA of Chroicocephalus ridibundus (black-headed gull), 537 nucleotides long. RefSeq lists it as uncharacterized. The record is from RefSeq and is a predicted model, not a curated record. The transcript is spliced from 3 exons. Lineage: Eukaryota; Metazoa; Chordata; Aves; Charadriiformes; Laridae.
GGUCGAGGUUUGCCCCGCCCGGCACGUGACCGGAAGAAGGGCGUGAGCCGGGCUGGGCCGAGCCCGAACCCCCGGCAGAGGUAAUUAUCCCCCACCCCGUGUGUCGUUAAUCACCUAGGGGUAAAUUGGACUGAAGAGGGGGGCCUAAUAAUGGAGGACGAGGAGGCAAGUUGCCUCAGGGAGAGCAGGGGGUCCCGCAGCUGCUGGGCCCCAGGCUGCCAGGGCUGGACUUCGCUCGCCGGCCACGCUGGAGCUACGCCAUGACCCUGGAGGAGCUGCAGGAGGAGGUGGCGUUUGGUGGGGACCUGGUGGCAGCAGGAGACCUAACAACCCUGCCAACAACGCGCCCAGCGAUUGGCCGGCGACUGCAAGGUUGGGGGGGGGGGGGCAUACUGAAUGACAUCGGUAGGUUCCAGAGUGAACACGGCCCAAACCCUCCCCCCCACGAUGACAGCAUCAGCCACAGCUUUAUUUUUUCCAGCAGUUUAUUAUUAAUGUACAAAAUAUACAAAAGGGGGAGGGGCAGGCGCAGAGCCC